AGACAGCACCCUGUUACGGGUUCCCGCGCGAGCGGGGAGCAAAAGGGAAGUCCGGUGCGCGGUCCGCCGCAAGUCCGGUGCUGUUCCCGCAACUGUAACCGGCGAGUGACGCGCCUUUCAUGCCACUGUGGCGGUCGGGAUGUCCCCGGCCAAUGCCAUGGGAAGGCGGUGCGGAUGCAUUGACCCGGGAGCCAGGAGACCUGCCCGUUGACAGUCUGUCCU
This 222-nucleotide non-coding RNA is filed under the name Sphingobium sp. SYK-6. Lineage: Bacteria; Pseudomonadati; Pseudomonadota; Alphaproteobacteria; Sphingomonadales; Sphingobiaceae. RNAcentral also lists the same sequence under 1 other name. The record is from RNAcentral.